CGUUCUGCCCCGCGGGAGGGGCGGCGGGAGCAUUGCGGGCUGCCUCCCCCGCCGGGUUGCCGGGACCCCCGGGAACGCCGCAGGAAACUUUUGUGUCGGGGCGAGUGGGGCCCGUCCCGCGGCGGGGGGGCGGUCUGACGGGCGGCGCCGCCGUGGCGGGUCCGGCCGCAAAGUCGCGGUGUGAGGGCCUCUGCAUAGUCAGCGCUGUGUCCGCCGCCCGAGCGCGGUGUUUCCCUGCAGAAGUUGCCGCUCGGGCAGGGCGAGGGCGGAGCCGAGCGGCCGGCGGAGGCCUGCGGCGGUGGGAAGACGGGGCCGUGGCUCGGGGCGGCCGGUGCUGGGGGCGACCGCCCCCGCUAGGCCCCUUCUGCCAGCUGCAGAGGCUGCCAGGAGGGUCAGCGGGGAACAGCUCUUCUGCCCCCUGCCACGUCUUCCGUUUAAAAUGAAUAGCUGUGGUUUCAAACAAAUAAAUUAUUUUUCCCACCGAAACGCGGCUACCCUUCGGUGAUAACUUGGAAAGGCUCAUCUAUCCCAGCAGCCUCGCUGAGCCAUCGCUGUGCAACUUUAAAUAGGCACUAAAGAAAAUGACAUGUUUACUUUGCCAAAGUUAUACUUUACUUUUUUUUUUUUUUGUUAGGAGAGUAGAGAUCACAGGAAGGAGGAUAAUUUUCCUUAGGUCUUGUAAAUUGUUCCUUGUGCAAGAUUAUGUUUCUGAAGCUUUGAGUUGAGGAUCGCUAAGUGGAGUAACUGCUGCAAGAGUAUGCGUUUUGUGUUGAGAGGCAUGUCUCUCAACACAUCUCGUACCAGUUCUGGUUCAGUUCAGGAUUGUGUGACUCUUAUGAUGGCUGAUGAAAUUUAGUGGAUAAAGUUUGCAUUGUUUACAUGUGCAGAGAAGGAAGGGAGUUGUCACACUGUGAAUUUCAGUGCAUAUUGCACCUUCCUGUUCUGUGUAUGUGCUGUCAGUUCAGCCAGCAGUUAAAUACAUGGAAGAGUUGGAGGGAUGCUCUGGUGCUUAAAGAAGUAGCCCGGUACUCGCAAGAGCUGAGUGCAACUUCCAAUUCUCCAUGGUGUUCGCUGUGACUUGUGUGUCUGUGCUUUUAGUCCCGGUUGACAGAUGGCGAACGGUUUUUCCCUCCCUUUGUGUACUUAGAUCUCAGAGUGAUGGUGGUAUUACACUUAAGUUCCUACCAUUGAUGUGGGGUUCUUGGCUAUCAUCUUUGCUCAUUUUUGUCUGCAUAGGCUUCCCUCCCUGUGUUUGUUCCACCCCUCGUGAUACAAGAGCUAGUAUUCUCUUCUUUGCAAGCAAAACACUGUUCUGGCAUUUUUUAAUACCAUAUCUGUUUCCUGCCAUUACCGCUUCCCUCUCUCCAGACUGUGCUUAGUCUUCAGCUCUUCCUUUCCUGCAUAUCCUGACUGUACACCCUACAUGUUUACUUGUGAGCGCUAUUGAUUUACUUAAUCCUAGAAAGUAAAUGCAGAUUCUAGUUCUUGGGGUCUGGAAAAUAGUCUGUUGUUUAGAAAAUGGUGAUUCAAUGCUUGUUGCUUCUCUUUGUGUCUUGCUUAGGCUAGCACUAAAUCAAGGGCAGCACCCCUGGGAGUCCAACCCUGAAGAAGUCAUUGGGAGUUGUCACUCUUCUGCUGAGAAUGGGGAAGGGAAAUGCACUUGUGGCUUUUCAAUAGCUUGUUUGCUAUUAGUGCAGGCAUUGACCAAGAGGGAACAAGUGAUCUGGAAAGGUAGUGGGUGGGAUAUAUCUGUACUCCAAAGUCUUUUUUUUUUUUUUUUUUUCCCCUUCUGUUCUGCAGUUUCAUUCCCUUUAUGGGAAGACUGGUUAUGGGUUUGGUUUUUUUUGUGAUGGGCUUUCUAAUACAGUGUUCAGUACACCUCGUCGAUAACUUUGAAAGUGUGAUUCCAUGCAUGUCAUGUUACACACUCUUUCAACUCGUGUGUAAAAACACCCAUUCUGCUUGCUGAACUGGUUUUAGUUCUGUACUUAGUUGCACGUUGUGGGGGUUUUCUUCCUCUUUUUGUUGCAAAAGCAAACCUCUCUGACACCUUAGCAGAAGCAAGGAAGGAGCUGUUGGUUUUUCACCUGUAACUGUUUUGUGUAUUGCCUUUUUUUCCCCACCCACCCCCUUCUUGCCAGGGUUCUCCAGUGCUCCAGGCAGCAAGUUUUGAAGCAGGAUGGGAAAAAGACGCUGUGUUCCUCCACUUGAGCCCAAGCUGGCAGCUGGCUGUUGUGGAGUAAAGAAGCCCAAAUUGUCUGGGAGUGGAACGCACAGUCAUGGGAAUCAGGCCACAACUGUACCAGGCUCCAGUUCAGGUCCUCUUCAGAACCACCAGCAUACAGAUGGGAAUAAUGGAAGGGAGAACGUAUCUGACUUGACUUUGGGCCCAGGAAAUUCUCCAAUUACUCGAAUGAAUCCCACUUCAGGAGCUCUGAGCCCACUUACUCGGCCCAAUGGAACUGCCAACAGCACCAAGAACCUGGUGGUGACAGCGGAGAUGUGCUGCUACUGCUUUGAUGUACUCUACUGUCAUCUCUAUGGUUUCCCUCAGCCACGACUUCCUCGAUUUACCAAUGACCCCUAUCCACUCUUUGUGACGUGGAAGACGGGGCGAGACAAGCGGCUUCGUGGCUGCAUUGGGACCUUUUCAGCCAUGAAUCUUCACUCAGGACUCAGGGAAUACACAUUAACCAGUGCACUUAAGGACAGUCGAUUUCCCCCCCUGACCCGCGAGGAGCUGCCCAAACUCUUCUGCUCUGUCUCCCUCCUCACUAACUUUGAGGAUGCCAGUGACUACCUGGACUGGGAGGUUGGGAUCCAUGGGAUCAGAAUAGAGUUCAUCAAUGAGAAAGGUGUCAAACGCACAGCCACGUAUUUACCUGAGGUUGCUAAGGAACAAGAGUGGAGUGGUCGCAUCCUCCUGGCUCUGGGGCAAAAGACUAAGACUGGGAUCAGAUCCAGACCAUAGACUCCUUACUCAGGAAAGGUGGCUUUAAGGCUCCAAUUACCAAUGAUUUUAGGAAAACAAUUAAACUCACCAGGUACCGCAGUGAGAAGGUGACAAUCAGUUAUGCAGAAUACAUGGCUUCCCGUCAGCAUUGUUUCCAGAAUGGCACUCUUCAUGCCCCCCCCCUCUACAAUCAUUACUCCUGACACACGGCUGCAUGACCAGUCCCACUCCCCAGUUGCUGCCAACAGCUACGACAUCAUUGGGGCAGAUGCCUCCUCUUCCUGGUCCAGUUACUUCUAUUACUGCACCAUUUUAUGAUGCUAGCUUCCGUUGCCAAGUCUGCCUUCCAGCUGACCUGGGGGGAAGAUGAGAGCAUGACAGGACUUCAGGGGCCCAAGCCUUAUCUCAGCCUUCCCUCCAACCGGGGGUUCAGUUGGAUUGGGGCUCCAUGCCUAUGAACUGUCGUGAGGUGCAGAAGACCUCUAGGAGUGGAAGUGCCACUUCGGACUGAUCCGUUCUUGUGUGUUACCGACACUCCAGAAACUUGAGUUGUUUGUUAUGGAAGCCCCCCAGAUCAAGUAGGAGCAUUCCCCUGGCAGCCUGGGCAACGGAGUCCAACAAAACAUUUUUUAGGUUCUUUUUAAUUUUUUUUAACCUCUGGUAUCUGUUGUGUACCGAGAGCUGAUUGUGGUCCCCACACAUCACAGGCGGACAUUAUGAUAUUGGGGAGGGUUGAACAUCUGGAUAGCACCCCAUCCUCAUGGACAGAAAACAAAGAUGUGAAAAACCUUUGGAUGGUAUUGCAGAUGAAUCCAUUAUUUAAAUACACCCUAGAAGGCUUUAAUUACCAGAUCCUACUGUAGGUUGGAUUCUUCAGAAAUCCUCUUGGUUUACAGUUUUUUGAGGCUUUUAGACAGUGCUUUAUAAUGUAGCCUGCUAUGAAAUAGAGUGCUGUUAUGCCUGUAAGAGAGCAACAUGGUGCAUGCUGUGUAUGCGAAGGACAAGGUACUUGAGUGUCCCUGGAUGGUUUUCUUUGUUACAACCAAGUUUUGUGUCCAAACAUUUGUAACAGAGCCUGCUUGGAUUAGGGAUGGGGAAGGAUUUGCAGGGCAUUGACCUGUAGUCAUACAAGUGAGAUAGUGACUGAAAUUUGUUUAACUUAAGCUAACAGUCUCGGGGACCUUCCUUUUGAUAGGACAGCCACUUUCUCUGGUGUGACUAUUGAUCUUGAGAACUGUGAGUAUUCCAGUUUACAGCAGGCCUAUGGAAUAGAGCUAUGUAGUUUCACUGGUAAGUUAUCUUACACAGUUUAGUCAUUACCACAUCAAGGCAAUGAGUGGGGAAACCUUUGUUACCCAAACUGUGUGAAACUCACGUGCAUUCUGUAUUUCUUCUCCCGUCAUUGAUGAUUACAAGAAAUACUCUCAUCUAAGAGGAAGAUGAGUUAUCCAGUUGUUAUUCUGCAGCAUCACUGAGGGAUGUCAUAAACUGUAAUUAUGACACACUCUCAAUCAAAACAUAAUUUGGGGUUUGGUUUGGUUUGUUUUCCAAGUUUCUGGAGGCUCAACAAUGAUCAGGAAAGAAAAUACAAGUGCAUAGCAAAGUAACUGCUAUUUGGUUGCAUAUAUCUUUAAAGUUUACUUGUGUGUGGUAAUGAUGGCUUUUAAAAUUGACUGGUGUUUCAAGCCUGAAAUUCUCUCCUGGCAUGGCAGGGAACAGGGCUGGUAGAAAGCUCAGAACUGCAUGCUGCUGGUCCUUCUGGUCCUAGAGAAGCAAACAGAUCUGUGUAGUUUUGCUUCAUGUUGGUGUAACGUUCUGCUGGAGGAGAGAGACAUGAGGGAAAGGAGGGGGUCCUAUUCUGGAUAUCGGUGCAAUAUCGACCCAGCUUUCCUCCUGUACUGGGUCAUCCUUAUAAAUUGCCACUUUUCCCUUGUGAUGUUGUUGAAAAGCAAUUGAAGAUUAAGGGAUUGUUUCAUGAUUUCCUGCUGCUGAGAAUAAAUCGGUCUUGUUACAAACUCGAGUGGUUUGUAAUUACUCUCCCAGGUGCCGUGUAGUGAUGGGGGAGGGGAGGGUCAGCUCCGUACAUACCAUUCACCUUUCAGCUGUCAAACAGUAUGAUACAUAGGGCUACACUCAUUACUGUUCAAGUGUUCUAUGUUAGAAUUUAAUUUCUAAAAGGUUUUAAAAAGGCAAAAAAUGGUGCUAAAACUUCACCCCUGAGCACGCUCAGUGAGACUGGUCAUGCAGGCAUAUAGUGCCAGGCUUUUCAACAAUAUUGUUUUUUUCAAAUGUUUGCCCUGUUCUGUGUCUUCAACAGUGUAUAGUGUUUUCCUGAUUUCAUUUUAUUUGAAUAGGGGAUGACUAAGGGGUGGGGUGGGGAGGGUUAGCUGUCAUUUUUAAAGAACAGAAUUUUAGGAUUGAGUGACUUGGUUGGUUGAAGGCUGAAGUGGGCUAGAUGGUUUGGAACUGGGGAAGCCUUAUUCCCUCCCACUUCCAUUUUCCCACUCAGUCUGUUUAAAAAAAAAAAAAGCCUCUAAAUAUGUACUGUGUUCUUGUCUUGUUGCAGUGAGAAGAGAAGCUAGCAAAUCAGAAACGCUGGUCUGCUGCCUAAGAAACAGGCCCACUCAGCUUUAGUCCCAUAAGGGUUCAGCUAUAAAAUCAUUUGAAAAGUGUGUCAAUAGUUAAGUUAGCUCAGAAAAAAAUGUAUGACAAGGACAGGUGGUCUCAGGAAAUAAUCCCAUUUCUAGAUCAUUACAUGGCAGCUAUGCAUAAGGAUGAAAGAGGUGAACUAGAAACAAAAUGUAUUUUGAGUUGCCUCAACAUGGAGGCAACCAAAAUCAAUGACCAAUUGAUACAAGAGUUUCUCUGUGGCUACUUGGCUGGGACAGCAGAUUAGAACUACUUCUCAAAGCAACUGUUACCUGGUUUGAUCUGGAUUUAACUCAUCCUUAGAAGCAAGUGCCUUUUGGUCUAGAAGGGCUUAUUCUCAUGACAACCACAACUGAGAAAAUAUCUCACUGCAAUUUGGAAUUGUCUUUGUUUUACAGUAACUACAGGAGAAUGUCUUUGAUCACUGGAGUCUGUCAGUGUUGGAAUGCUUCCACUGUGAGGUUCUUAAUUUUUUUUCCAUAAUGUUCAACAGUCAAUCUCAACUGAGGCCAAUUCAGUUUGGGAACAUUUUAUGGUCAAAAUAUCACAUAUCUACAAUUUAUCAGAACAAAAAAAAAAAAAAAAAAAAGAAAAACUAUGACUUCAUUUUAACCUUUGCAUAGAAUAAUUUGUUUUCAUAGUACGUUAACAUCUGCAAUCUUCACUGACUAUUAGUGCUGUUUUCUGUUUGUAUUCUGGAAACUACAUGUUGUUUUGUUGGGGGUUUUUUUUGGUUAAUUUAUUUCCUUAAAGCAGGAGACCUCUUCUGACCUUCAGUGCAGAGAUGUCAGACCAAUUCUUUGUAUUACACUUGGUUGCCUCCUACCUAUAUAAUAACUUCUGAGUGUAAAUAAUUGAACUCUCCUCUAAUGAAGUAUUGUAGAGAAUAAAUCAUAAUGGAUAAAGAUUA
This is a non-coding RNA of Phalacrocorax carbo (great cormorant), 6512 nucleotides long. The record is from RefSeq and is a predicted model, not a curated record. Lineage: Eukaryota; Metazoa; Chordata; Aves; Suliformes; Phalacrocoracidae.